CAUAUUUAGCUGUUAUGUACCUGUAAAUUGUUUUUACCUGUUAUGUAUUAAUUUAUUAAAUACAAAGGUAUCCUUUAUGAUCAUAGUUAUGAAUUUAUUAAUUUAUGAUCAUAUUCAGAGGCUGCGUAUUCAUUUCCUAACUUGUAUAUCAGUUAUAGACCAAGCUUGUCGAAGUGUUCUUUGAAGAAUUUCCUUUGCCGAUGAUGGAUAGAUACUUGAGUAGGACUUGUAUAGGGUAGUGAAUGCAAGUACACAUGCUACUUUGGAGGAUAUAUAAUCUUUUUCGUAGGACUGAUAUAAUUACUAUCUAUGAAAGGAGAAAUAAUUCAAAGGCAAUGAAAAGCUGGCAGAAGUAGAUGACAGUGCUAAUCAUUUAAAAAAGUAAAAAGAGGUAUAGUAAAAUGCAGGGACAAGGCCACAUAGUGGCUUAGAUAGAGGGGCAGUUGAACCCUGUUAAAUUUUGGUGAAAUUUUUAGGUAGGUUUUAAUUAACUUUUUUAAAAAUUAUAUUACGAAGCUGUAAUAAAAAAGUUUGACCCUCUUGAUAUUGAAGAAAAAUGAACUGAUAUUCAGUUUUGACCCACUUAUUUUUAAUUUAUUCAUUUUGUCUUUGCGCCUCUUUAUUAAAAUAUCUGGUCUCUUCCCUGGGUAGAGAGUCCUUUGAACACACUUUCAGUGCCAGACAUAAGGCCCCGAGAACCAUUGGUCUUAGAUCAGGGAUGAACUUUGCAUUGGAUUUUUGGUAUAUAGGUUGUACAUUUGCAUGCAGGUUGUUAUAGGCCUUAGAAUUUAGAUGCUGCCUGAUGAAAACUGGUAUAAGAGG
RNAcentral lists this long non-coding RNA (822 nucleotides) under Panax ginseng (ginseng). Its description in RNAcentral is "long non-coding RNA (PGIN_LNC012399)". Lineage: Eukaryota; Viridiplantae; Streptophyta; Magnoliopsida; Apiales; Araliaceae. The record is from RNAcentral.